This 440-nucleotide ribosomal RNA is filed under the name uncultured bacterium. RNAcentral describes it as "partial 16S ribosomal RNA". It matches the Rfam family "Bacterial small subunit ribosomal RNA", at positions 338 to 795 of the family's 1533-position model. The record is from RNAcentral.
CCUACGGGUGGCAGCAGUGGGGAAUAUUGCACAAUGGGGGAAACCCUGAUCCAGCAACGCCGCGUGAGUGAAGAAGUAUUUCGGUAUGUUAAGCUCCAUCAGCAGGGAAGAAGAUGACGGUACCUGACCAAGAAGCCCCGGCUAACUACGAGCCAGCAGCCGCGGUAAUACGUAGGGGGCAGGCGUUAUCCUGAUUUACUGGGUGUUAAGGGAGCGUAGUCGGGAGUGCAAGUCUGGAGUGAAAGCCCGGGGCCCAACCCCGGAACUGCUCUGGAAACUGUGCGGCUAGAGUACUGGAGGGGCAGGCGGAAUUCCUAGUGUAGCGGUGAAAUGCGUAGAUAUUAGGAGGAACACCAGUGGCGAAGGCGGCCUGCUGGACAGUAACUGACGUUGAGGCUCGAAAGCGUGGGGAGCAAACAGGAUUAGAUACCCGAGUAGUC